GGGUGUGUGUGACCGUGAGAACAAGACCAAGGGGGAAACCCUAUUUCUUCAAAAUCUUGCAAAUUAAAGGAGAAAAGGGCUAAAUUUUGAAUGCAUGAACUAAGAAUGAUGAUCAUCUAAGCAUACCCAACAUCAAUAUGAAUGUAUGUUGGAACGUGUCAAGGAGAGGUCAAGCAUAGGAGGAUAACGGGUCAAGAUAAGGCAAGGUGACAAAUACACUUAUUGGAGUACUCGAGGUAAGUGAAUUUCGAUUCACUUUUUAGUAGGUUUAAUAGAUUUUAAUACUUAUGUUUACGAAACAUCAUGAAAGAACAUGUGAUAAUCAGAAGUACAAAGCCAAUAAUGCCUCAUUAUUGAAGAAGGUUGUAUUUAAGCCGAAAGUAAAUUGGUGGGUUUAAACGGGUCGAAUUUUAUGUGCAUAUGUUGCGUAAUGUAAUGAAAUUCGUUAUGGUUAAGACCUUGGGUAAGAAUUUUAGUCAUUAUGUAAGGGGAACAUUUCCCGGACCAUUAGGAACAAGUUUUAUAUGAUUCGGUUGUCGGUUAGUGAAUGAACGGAUUGUUUCGUGUUAGUGUAGGAAAUUUUAUAAGUAUAUGUGUAUGGGAAUCCAAAGGCCACGUGGGUUGAAUCGUAGAUUGUCUAUACUAUGUAAAGUUGUAAAUGUGACAUUCCGGCAUAAACCUACAUGUAAAAGAAGCUUGUGUAUAUAUUCGUGAUUAAUUGAUUGUGCGUAGGAAGGAACAUUGGCAUGUAUGAAGGUACGCAUAUAUAUAUAUAUAUGUAUGUAUGUAUGAUAAUAAGUACGUAGGUGUGAAUGUAUGUGUGAAUGAAUGUUCAAUGCUUAAGACAUAUGCAUGAACGUAUCAAAGUGUUCGAGUAUUUAUGGAUACUAAUGAUGUGCGUUGAGUUGGAAUGUAAUGUAGGUAUGGGAUCGUUGGCUUCAUGAAGAAAUGGAGCUGGAUUUGGAUAAGAGUAUUUAAGAAAGCGCUUGGACAAUUCCACGACUACUUUAUAGAAUGCUCUACGAAAUUUUAUUAUAUAGUUUAAUGUUGAAUGGUAUGUUAAUGACUAACGGUUUGGUUGUACGUGGUGUCCACAGGUAUCGCUUGGGUUUUCUCUACAUUUAUUGAAGUGAAGCGGACUUAGUUCGAGUUGAGAGCAAGGAUUGUACGGGGUAGAAUGGUCACAUAGUGUAACUCAUAUAGGUUUUGAAGUAUUAAUGUUAUAAAACGUUAUAAAUCCGUUUUAAUGAAUAUAUGGCAUUUCGCAUUUGAACCUUCAUGUGUUUGAUAUGUCUAUUAAAGAACGAAAUUUUUGGGCUCUUGUUUUCCGCUGCGUCGUAUUUUAAGUUAUUACGCGUUAGUCUUACAGGGAAUUGUUCUUAUUACGAACGGGUCAUGCCCGAAUUUUGUUAAAUAAUAGUAUGAUAAUAUUACAUUUUGGAAUGUGUAAUUUGGGUGUAACAAGUUGGUAUCAGAGCCCUGGUUUGAGAGAAUUAAGUACGAGAGUAUAAGUACUUGAACUCAAACCUGUGUGCUCUUGUGAUAAGGAACCCGUACAAUCCAUGACUCGAUCAAGAUCUAAAGGUAGAAAUGGAACGAAAAUGUGUAAGUAUGUAUUAGAUUAUGUAUUUGAAAGAAACUAAUAGUGUGUUAUGUGCAAGGUAAGCUUAAGAGCUUGAAGAGGAUGAUCCGUGAAUACAGAAUAGGAUGAACGCUAAGGCGGGCAAAGGUGCAGAUAGGCAAAUUAACCCCAGGUACACAUUACUAAUAUGUAUGAGUACCGAUGUCAAAAGAAAAAGGAAGGGGUCUCCUUGGGAGGGAAAUUAUUAAACGAAAGACAAUGAUGUGGUCUUGGGGAAGUUUUAGAAAUGUGCACGAAACUGAAACCCAUUUCUCGGGCAUAAGGCGAUGAUUACACGAAGGCACGAAACUAGUGUGUGAAUUGCGCACCUGGCCAGUACGCAAGAAGCAUAUGACGUUCGUGAGACCGUGGCAAUUAUUGCAGGUAUGUCCGGUAGAACUGGGUAGCAGGUGGGCGCUAUGUUGUAGCGAAUGCGAAAUAGCAAAUCCAUUGCGGAUUUGGUUAUGCUAACGAAGAUUAUGAAAAGUUAGGCGAGUCGACCGGUUCUAGCGAACAAGUCGAAUAAGAAUAAGCUACCAUCCGUUUUGAACGGGUGAUUUUGAAUGCCCUAAUGAAUGCUAGAAGCUUAAUCCGUUAUACGGAUUAAAAGAAGAAGUUAU
Molecule: long non-coding RNA, 2241 nt
Filed under: Helianthus annuus (common sunflower)
Lineage: Eukaryota; Viridiplantae; Streptophyta; Magnoliopsida; Asterales; Asteraceae
Description: hypothetical non coding rna
Source: RNAcentral